Molecule: long non-coding RNA, 3850 nt
Organism: Homo sapiens (human)
Lineage: Eukaryota; Metazoa; Chordata; Mammalia; Primates; Hominidae
Gene: RNF139-DT
Product: RNF139 divergent transcript
Source: Ensembl
GCGCUUUUCGGUAGCCGCGCUUUCCGGCGUUGGAGUUGCAGCUUCACCCUCGCAGAUUCGGCUUAGCGAGCGAGUCGGUGCUUCCGCGGAUCAAAAUUAUUAGCCGUUUUAUUAGAGCCCAUUAAACGUUGCAUAAACAUGGUUCAGAGCUGCCUGGGAGAAGAAAAGCCAAAGGAUGCCACCCUCUCGAUUUAUCCCACCCUCGGGAGUCUGAAAGCCGACGCCAGGAGAAAUCCCGCGAAGGCCGCCCGGGAUCCUGGUAGAGGCGACGCUGUGUGCGUUUAUGGAGCGCUUGCGGUGCGUGGCACUAGGCUGGGUGUGGUGGGUGCUGCCGAAAAAAGGGUUCCUCCCAUCCAUUUGCACGUCACCCUUCCCACCUCCUGCCCAGAUGGACAGAAGUGAGGACAUUCAUCGGCCGCAUUUUACUAAUGGCAAGGAGAUAGCGACUGAAGGGCAAGAACCUAGGGUUUCCUGUCUUUGAUAUUUCUCAUCUUUGAGAGAAGCCAGUAUUUGGAGAUGUUUACCCUGCUGUUUUGGAAGUUGUCCACUUUACUUGAUAUUGGGACAUAUCAAGAGACCACUAUAUGGUCUUGAGUGUAAACUACAGGUAUAUUCCUUCCUGCCAUCAUCGUGUAGCAAUAACGCUAUUUCCUCCUGAUGAUUGGAUUCAUUUACCCCAACUAACAUGGUGACUCUUCCUUGCCUGCUGGUCUCCUAGCACAAGGACCUUGAACCGGGAAACCUCAGCAAGUUAAAGUUUAAAGGAUCUAUUAUUGUGUCUCUUGAUGAAAAGGUUCCUCUCUUGGGAAUCAGGACUUCUAAUUCACAAAGUUGCGGGGAUGAGAAGUCCAAACUCCCCACUUGGGUCACUGGGAGUGAGAGUAUGUGGUUAUAUUAAUUUCCUAUCACUGCUAUGACACUACGAACUUAGUGGUUUCAAACAACACAAAUUUAUUUUCUUACAGUUCUGGAAGCCUAAAAUCAAGAUAUCAACUGGACUGUUUUUCCUGAAGUCUUCAAGAAAAAGUCUGUUUCCUUGCCUUUUUCAAUUUCUAGAGGCUACCUACAUUUCUUGGCUCAUGGCCCCUUACUCAUAUCACCCCAUCCUCCUGCUUAAGUCAUUGCAUCUACUAGGCAAAUCUGCCUCUCUCUUGUAAGAAUCUUUAUGAUUAUAUUGGGCCUAUUGGAUAGUCCAGGAUAAUCUCUGUAUCUUGAGAUCAUUAACUUAGUCAUAUCCACAAAGUCUCUUUUAUCUUGAAGGUAAAAUAUUCAUAGAAUCCAGGAUUAGGAUCUGAACAUAUUUGGGGGCCAUUAUUCAGCCUACUACACAGUAGGAAUUCUAUUUAUAUCCUUUCAUUCCCAAACAUGCAUGUUAUGUAUAUAUGAGACACAGCACCAUAAAAUGAGUGUUGAUUUAGAGUAUAUACUGUACCCUGGUGGACAAGGUCAUUCCAUUUUCACAGGCUAUUAUCUUCAAGCUUUUGCUUCAGUUUCACCUUCAAAAGGGUUUUUCAUCAUUCCAUCAGACCCGCAUUUUCUCGGUUAUAUAGUAUGUGAUAGGACUAGUGGAUCUCAUGGUUAUGUACCUGCUGAUACACCUCCUUUGCUGUAAAGUGCAUCCCUAAAUCAAAGGCAAUAUUACACAGGAUACAUGUUGAUGGAUCAAAUACCUGUAAACCUGUGAGUAGUAGAGCUGGCCAACAACUUAUAGGCAAGGAAGUCAAACUCAUACAUGCAGAUGGGCAGUUUCUAGUCAAGGAGAAUCACUGCCCAUUCUAGGAUGGAAGGAAUCCAACAUAAAUCAAUUUGCUGCCCAAGUAGCUGUUUGGUAUCCUUGAGGGUUGGUGCUGUAUCAGGAACUUGGUGUUUAACACUGGGGAGUGGCUAUUUUGUUGUUGUUGUUGUUGUUGUUUUGUUUUGUUUGAGACGGAGUUUCACUGGUUGCCCAGGCUGGAGUGCCGUGGCGCCAUCUCGGCUCACUGCAACCUCUGCCUCCUGGGUUCAAGGGAUUCUCCUGCCUCAGCCUCGUGAGUAGCUGGGAUUACAGGCAUGCGCCACCACGGCCAGCUAAUUUUGUAUUUUUAGUAGAGACGGGGUUUCUCCAUGUUGGUCAGGCUGGUCUCAAACUCCAGACCUCAGGUGAUCCGCCCACCUCAGCCUCCCAAAGUGCUGGGAUUACAGACAGGAGCCACCGCGCCCAGCCUGGGGAGUGGCUAUUGGAUAAGUGGAGGCUAUCUAUUGGCUUCUUGCUCACUUGCAUUCCUGCAAGAUGACUACUUUGUCAUAAGCCCCCUGUGCCAUUCCUGGGGGCGGAGGGAGGGGGCGGUGGAGCCGAUGGUUGUAGCUGCUGAAGUUUACUGGCUAAAUCUGUCUACUUGGUUAUUUAAUGCUGCUUACAUGUUGGAUUGUCUCUGGCAGAUAAAGAUUGUGUUAUACAAUACAAAAAGCCCUCCUUAUGUGCCAUAUCUGAUAUAUUUCUCCUCUGCUUCUCCAGACUUCUUGUCCCUGAUAUACCAGUCUUAUUCCAGACCCCUGAUCAACUAGCCAACUUAUUUGCCAUGAAAAUAUGUUCUUAGUUCAAGACACUUUCUUUCCACACACAGUUGAUGACCAGGAAUACUGCCCCACAUUAUGCCUUUUGGGAGGGUUCUCCUUACUGCUGUCUUUUAAGGCCAGUCCUGUGUGGGGCUGUAGGGCAGUAGCAGUCCAUUUUUGUUUUGAACCUAUAUUCCAAGAAACCUCAGUGAAUUCAGCUCAGGCUUUUUUGUCCUCCAUAAGCUAGACAUGAGAGCCUCCCAAGUGGCCAUAAUUGUGAGCUGAGGAAGGGACAUUGGUAAAGAAUCAGAUAUGACAUGGGAGCCUGACCACCUGCCUUUGCCCAGCUCAUGAUGGGCCUCUCUGGCUACAUGGUCACUUGAUGUCCAUAAUCAGUUCUUACCAAGGCACAUUAGCAUGGAUAGAGUUGUUUUUGGGAUUUUGCACUGCAGAUGGCCCAGCCUUGCCACAGAAUGCCAGGAGUCGACCUUGUGAUUCUCCCAUUGGAGCUUGCCUUCAACUUUCAUGGCUUCUUAUCACAUUUACUCUUGUCCCAUAGAAUAUCCUGAAUUGGUCCAUGCAACAGGGCUAAAUACACCAUACCUGCUAGAGAACUUUUACAUGCUAUGGAUCCCACUGAAAACUGGCAGAUUUCUAUCUCACCCAGUUUACGAGUCAGAACAGUACUGCCAACUUCUGAAUUCCCACAGAAGCCUACACAGCUUGGUGUGCUUCCCUGGUGGCAGAAUAAUUUUGGUGAAAUGAGUGGGUGAGAUGCAAUAAUUUGUCCUUUACUGUGAAGGGGAUAUCUUGGCAUUCAAGCAGCCUACUGGGCCCUAAAAGUUUCACUGAGGUAACAGCUUGCUGGGUCUUAAGGAUUAUUUCCCAUCCUCCAGUGUACAGUAUGCUAGCUGCUUAUUAUUCACCUUAUCCAGCUAGCAUGAUGUCAUCAAUGUGGUAGGUCAUUGUGACAUUAUGUGGGAUGUUUAGAUGGUCUAGAUCUCUUCGGAUUAUGACGCAGUGUGGAAGAGUUAACAUAACCCUAAGCCAAUACUAUAAAUGGGUACUGCUGUCCUAUAUAAACACAAACUUAAUUCUUGUCCAGCACUCUCAGGACCCAGUUCCAUACACAUGCUCAUGGUUCCUGUUGGUACAUGUUGGUUAGAUCCUGCAUCUCUUUGGUCAUAUAAGCCCAUUUGGAAUUGAAAGUAGACACACAGAAUGAGGGCAAAACACCUGCAGAACAGCUGCUUCAUCAUGGUGGGCUUUUUUCAUAUUAGGUUUUGUUACCUUUGAGUUUUUAAAUUAUGUGUAA